UUAUUACAGGAUCAAGGCCUGUCUUUCUAG
Molecule: transfer RNA, 30 nt
Filed under: Mantidactylus bellyi
Lineage: Eukaryota; Metazoa; Chordata; Amphibia; Anura; Mantellidae
Description: partial tRNA-Asn
Source: RNAcentral